Silurus meridionalis is the source of this 415-nucleotide long non-coding RNA. RefSeq lists it as uncharacterized. Lineage: Eukaryota; Metazoa; Chordata; Actinopteri; Siluriformes; Siluridae. The transcript is spliced from 2 exons. The record is from RefSeq and is a predicted model, not a curated record.
GGAUGGAUGGAUUGAUUGAUUGUGAUACUGCAAAGGGGAAAGAGGUGAACAUUUUGUAUAUCCGAGCGGGGGAUAAGUAUGCUGCACGGACAGAUCGGAACAAGUAUUUGCCCCAGGCGACACGGCAGUGUCCUUGACAAGCUUUGUUCCUAUAGCUGACUUUUAUCUCCACUUCAGAGUCAAUAAUUAGCCACCCUGACAGACAUACAAGUGGUGUUUUUCCUCCUCAGGCAAAGGUGCAUCAAUGGUGGCUUUAUCUCACUAUUGCCACGGCGCCUGCUGGGCAUGUCCUGAGCUUGCAUGCGAGAUUUUCUUCCACACUGCUUUCAAGUAACAUUCAACACCAGACUGAACAAUACUUUUCUUUUAAAGGAGCAGUUCAGUAAAAUAAAUAGAAAUGGUCUUUUUUUCUCUC